UUUUUUGGAUUUGCAGGUGAAGAGAUCGAAGAGAGGAGGAAGCAUUACAGCCCCCCCCUCACGCUGCCUGAUUUUCGGGGCGGCGCGUGAGCCCACGCGCCGCCAGUCACGGCGGUGCGUGGGGUCCACGCGCCGCUACUGUUCAGGCAGCCCAGAACUGUUCCUGAAGGGUUUCCCAGUACUGUUAUGGAUUGUUUAGGGACCAUUUUGUAAAUUUUAAAGUUUUAAUGUAAUUUUUGUUUAUUUAUUUUAAAUUUAUAGUAUUGAAUGUAAAAGAAAAAAAAAGAAGAAAAGAAAAGAAAAUAAUAAUAACAAAGGGGAUGUGUGUGUUGGUGUAUUUU
Molecule: long non-coding RNA, 341 nt
Filed under: Populus tremula
Lineage: Eukaryota; Viridiplantae; Streptophyta; Magnoliopsida; Malpighiales; Salicaceae
Description: long non-coding RNA (PTRE_LNC000496)
Source: RNAcentral